GACAGAGGUGCCGAGCGUUAGGCGGAAUCACUGGGCUUAAAGCGUGUGUAGGCGGGUCGUUAAGUGUCCGUGUGAAAUCCCCCGGCUCAACCGGGGAACGGCCGGGCAUACUGGCGACCUUGGGGCACCCAGGGGCUGUCGGAACAAGCGGUGGAGCGGUGAAAUGCGUAGAUAUCGCUUGGAACGCCGGCGGUGAAAACGGACAGCUGGGGGUGUGCUGACGCUGAGACACGAAAGCCAGGGGAGCGAACGGG
This 254-nucleotide ribosomal RNA is filed under the name uncultured bacterium. Its description in RNAcentral is "partial 16S ribosomal RNA". It matches the Rfam family "Bacterial small subunit ribosomal RNA", at positions 524 to 776 of the family's 1533-position model. The record is from RNAcentral.